GGAGUCUUGGGACCCCGACCUUCGGGGGCUGAUUUUUGGGCGCGGCUGUGCCAGUGGCCUAUUUUUGGCACACGGAGGCCGCCCGCCAAGUCUGGGGCCAUUCCGAGUCCCGCGGACGAACUUCGCCCACGCCGCCCACCAAGGCUAUAGCCCACCCGUUUUUUGGCCAUUUUUCCGCUGGGGGGUCUUGGGACCCCGACCUUCGGGGGCUGAUUUUUGGGCGCGGCUGUGCCCGUGGCCUAUUUUUGGCACACGGAGGCCGCCCGCCAAGUCUGGGGCCAUUCCGAGUCCCGCGGACGAACGUCGCCCACGCCGCCCACCAAGGCUAUAGCCCACCCGUUUUUUGGCCAUUUUUCCGCUGGGGGAUCUUGGGACCCCGACCUUCGGGGGCUGAUUUUUGGGCGCGGCAGUGCCCGUGGCCUAUUUUUGGCACACGGAGGCCGCCCGCCACGUCUGGGGCCAUUCCGAGUCCCGUGGACGAACGUCGCCCACGCCUCCCACCAAGGCUAUAGCCCACCCUUUUUUUGGCCAUUUUUCCGCUGGGGGGUCUUGGGACCCCGACCUUCGGGGGCUGAUUUUUGGGCGCGGCUGUGCCCGUGGCCUAUUUUUGCACACGGAAGCCGCCCGCCAAGUAGGGUGCCAUUCCGAGUCCCGCGGACGAACUUCGCCCACGCCCCCCGCCAAGGCUAUAGCCCACUCGUUUUUUGGUCAUUUUUCCGCUGGGGGGUCUUGGGAACCCGACCUUCGGGGACUGAUUUUUGGACGCGGCUGUGCCCGUGGCCUAUUUUUGGCACACGGAGGCCGCCCGCCAAGUCUAGGGCCAUUCCGAGUCCCACGGACGAACUUCGCCCAUGCCCCCCACCAAGGCUAUAGCCCACCCGUUUUUUGGCCAUUUUUCCGCUGGGGGGUCUUGGGACCCCGACCUUCGGGGGCUGAUUUUUGGGAGCGGCUGUGCCCGUGGCCUAUUUUUGGCACACGGAGGCCGCCCGCCAAGUCUGGUGCCAUUCCGAGUCCCGCGGACGAACUUCGCCCACGCCGCCCACCAAGGCUAUAGCCCACCCGUUUUUUGGCCAUUUUUCCGCUGGGGGAUCUUGGGACCCCGACCUUCGGGGGCUGAUUUUUGGGCGCGGCUGUGCCCGUGGCCUAUUUUUGGCACACGGAGGCCGCCCAACAAGUCUGGGGCCAUUCCGAGUCCCGUGGACGAACGUCGCCCACGCCCCCCACCAAGGCUAUAGCCCACCCUUUUUUUGGCCAUUUUUCCGCUGGGGGGUCUUGGGACCCCGACCUUCGGGGGCUGAUUUUUGGGCGCGGCUGUGCCCGUGCGCAAUUUUUGGCACACGGAGGCCGCCCGCCAAGUCUGGUGCCAUUCCGAGUCCCGCGGACGAACUUCGCCCACGCCCCCCACCUAGGCUAUAGCCCACCCUUUUUUUGGCCAUUUUUCCGCUGGGGGGU
Molecule: long non-coding RNA, 1452 nt
Filed under: Citrus x clementina
Lineage: Eukaryota; Viridiplantae; Streptophyta; Magnoliopsida; Sapindales; Rutaceae
Description: Citrus clementina (C. clementina) long non-coding RNA (CCLE_LNC005884)
Source: RNAcentral